Molecule: unclassified non-coding RNA, 246 nt
Filed under: Pleosporales sp.
Lineage: Eukaryota; Fungi; Ascomycota; Dothideomycetes; Pleosporales
Description: partial contains 5.8S ribosomal RNA, internal transcribed spacer 2, and large subunit ribosomal RNA
Source: RNAcentral
CGCACAUUGCGCCCCUUGGCAUUCCAUUGGGCAUGCCUGUUCGAGCGUCAUCCGAACCCUCAAGCUACGCUUGGUGUUGGGCGUUUGCCCGCGCGCACGCGCGCCGGCUCGCCCCAAAUGCAUUGGCAGUUGCCACGCCAGCCUCCCACGCAGCAGUUUGCGCUUCCGAGGGGCUUCCGGCGGGCUCUCCCACCGAGACCAUCCGCAUUUGACCUCGAAUCAGGUAGGGAUACCCGCUGAACUUAA